GCCGUAGCUUAGUGGUAGAUUGUCUGCUUUGAAUGCAGAAGGUGUCCUGGGUACCAUCUCCAGGUGGGACU
Molecule: non-coding RNA, 71 nt
Organism: Podarcis lilfordi (Lilford's wall lizard)
Lineage: Eukaryota; Metazoa; Chordata; Lepidosauria; Squamata; Lacertidae
Source: the annotation of a GenBank genome assembly